Molecule: non-coding RNA, 138 nt
Organism: Fukomys damarensis (Damara mole-rat)
Lineage: Eukaryota; Metazoa; Chordata; Mammalia; Rodentia; Bathyergidae
Source: Rfam
AGCUUUGUGAACAGCAGCAUUGUAGCCAAUGAAGUUCAUCUGAGGCACAAUUAUUGCUAAUUGAAAACCUUCAGCCUGCCAAGCACUCUCUGUUAAUCACUGGGAAAUCAGUUGUACAAUUAGAUUUGUCACUAGUCA